AUCCAGCUGAUGAGUCCUAAAUAGGACGAGACGCGCGUCAAACUGGAU
Non-coding RNA from Schistosoma mattheei, 48 nucleotides. The record is from Rfam. Lineage: Eukaryota; Metazoa; Platyhelminthes; Trematoda; Strigeidida; Schistosomatidae.